Molecule: ribosomal RNA, 408 nt
Filed under: uncultured bacterium
Lineage: Bacteria
Description: partial 16S ribosomal RNA
Rfam family: Bacterial small subunit ribosomal RNA
Source: RNAcentral
GACGAACGCUGGCGGCGUGCUUAACACAUGCAAGUCGAACGGAGUGGCUAACGGGUGUGUAACACGUGGGUGAUCUGCCUUUCACUUCGGGAUAAGCUUGGGAAACUGGGUCUAAUACCGGAUAGUGCAAGAUGAGCUCGCGGCCUAUCAGCUUGUUGGUGGGGUAAUGGCCUACCAAGGCGUCGACGUGUAGCCGGCCUGAGAGGGUGUACGGCCACAUUGGGACUGAGAGACGGCCCAGAAUCCUACGGAAGGCAGCAGUGAGGAAUAUGGCGCAAUGGGCGGAAGUCUGAUGCAGCGACGCCGCGUGGGGGAUGAAGGCCUGCGGGUUGUAAACUCCUUUCGACAGGGACGCGGUACCUGUAUAAGAAGCACCGGCUAACUACGUGCCAGCAGCCGCGGUAAUUC